RNAcentral lists this ribosomal RNA (270 nucleotides) under uncultured archaeon. Its description in RNAcentral is "partial 16S ribosomal RNA". It matches the Rfam family "Bacterial small subunit ribosomal RNA", at positions 527 to 796 of the family's 1533-position model. The record is from RNAcentral.
CGAGGGUGCAAGCGUUAAUCGGAAUUACUGGGCGUAAAGCGAGUGUAGGCGGCUUCGUAAGUCGGAUGUGAAAGCCCUGGGCUUAACCUGGGAAUGGCAUUCGAUACUGCGCGGCUAGAGUCUGAUAGAGGGAUGUGGAAUUCCAGGUGUAGCGGUGAAAUGCGUAGAGAUCUGGAGGAACACCAGUGGCGAAGGCGGCAUCCUGGAUCAAGACUGACGCUGAGGCUCGAAAGCGUGGGGAGCAAACAGGAUUAGAUACCCCAGUAGUCC